CCUACGGGUGACAGCAGUGGGGAAUAUUGGACAAUGGGGGGAACCCUGAUCCAGCCAUGCCGCGUGUGUGAAGAAGGCCCUCGGGUUGUAAAGCACUUUCAGUGAGGAAGAACGCCUGGUGGUUAAUACCCAUCAGGAAAGACAUCACUCACAGAAGAAGCACCGGCUAACUCCGUGCCAGCAGCCGCGGUAAUACGGAGGGUGCGAGCGUUAAUCGGAAUUACUGGGCGUAAAGCGCGCGUAGGUGGCUUGAUAAGCCGGUUGUGAAAGCCCCGGGCUCAACCUGGGAACGGCAUCCGGAACUGUCAAGCUAGAGUGCAGGAGAGGAAGGUAGAAUUCCCGGUGUAGCGGUGAAAUGCGUAGAGAUCGGGAGGAAUACCAGUGGCGAAGGCGGCCUUCUGGACUGACACUGACACUGAGGUGCGAAAGCGUGGGUAGCAAACAGGAUUAGAUACCCUUGUAGUC
RNAcentral lists this ribosomal RNA (465 nucleotides) under Vreelandella stevensii. RNAcentral describes it as "partial 16S ribosomal RNA". It matches the Rfam family "Bacterial small subunit ribosomal RNA", at positions 338 to 795 of the family's 1533-position model. Lineage: Bacteria; Pseudomonadati; Pseudomonadota; Gammaproteobacteria; Oceanospirillales; Halomonadaceae. The record is from RNAcentral.